GCACCUUAGAGACCAACUAAGUUUGUUCUUGGUAUAAGCUUUCGUAUGCAUGCACACUUCAGAUAUGUGCAUGCACAUGAAAGCUUAUACCAGGGACAAACUUAGUUGGUCUCUAAGGUGC
Molecule: non-coding RNA, 121 nt
Organism: Podarcis lilfordi (Lilford's wall lizard)
Lineage: Eukaryota; Metazoa; Chordata; Lepidosauria; Squamata; Lacertidae
Source: the annotation of a GenBank genome assembly